GGAGGUUUCUUGAUGAAGGUCAUGCCUUUAAGUUCCAGAUCAUCAGCAGAUACACCGACUACUGUAGAUAUUGAACAACUAGGAGAAGCAGAAGAUUGACUUAAACCUAUAACAUUCGUUUGCAGCAAUUUCCCACAACCAGGAAAUUUUUCUUCAGUUUCAGAUGUGAACCGAGAACAUGGAGCAACUAUAGAAGUACAAAGAUCAGGAUCUGAAAUUUUUGUACAUAUCACACAGCUGUCAAUAUUUUCGCAACUACAGCAUCCACAGCCUCCCAUGUAAACGGCAGAUCUUUUAUUCUCAACAUCAGGAAGCUGG
Molecule: unclassified non-coding RNA, 318 nt
Filed under: Hevea brasiliensis (rubber tree)
Lineage: Eukaryota; Viridiplantae; Streptophyta; Magnoliopsida; Malpighiales; Euphorbiaceae
Source: RNAcentral